AUUCUUGCGCAGAGGCAAUAUCGUAGCUUAUGAGGUCAAUCCGAGGCUCGAUCAUUGCUGGUUGAAAACUUUACCCAAUACCCCGCCUGGAUGACUUGAAAAAUAGUCAGCCGUGGCAAUUUUUGAUGGUCUCUUAUGAGA
Small nuclear RNA from Tachysurus vachellii, 141 nucleotides. RefSeq annotates it as U4 spliceosomal RNA. The record is from RefSeq and is a predicted model, not a curated record. Lineage: Eukaryota; Metazoa; Chordata; Actinopteri; Siluriformes; Bagridae. The transcript has a single exon.